UACGGGGGGGGCAAGCGUUGUUCGGAAUUACUGGGCGUAAAGGGCCCGUAGGUGGCCAACUAAGUCAGACGUGAAAUCCCUCAGCUUAACUGGGGAACUGCGUCUGAUACUGGAUGGCUUGAGUUUGGGAGAGGGAUGCGGAAUUCCAGGUGUAGCGGUGAAAUGCGUAGAUAUCUGGAGGAACACCGGUGGCGAAGGCGGCAUCCUGGACCAACACUGACACUGAGGAGCGAAAGCCAGGGGAGCAAACGGG
RNAcentral lists this ribosomal RNA (253 nucleotides) under uncultured bacterium. RNAcentral describes it as "partial 16S ribosomal RNA". It matches the Rfam family "Bacterial small subunit ribosomal RNA", at positions 524 to 776 of the family's 1533-position model. The record is from RNAcentral.